Molecule: long non-coding RNA, 1024 nt
Organism: Zingiber officinale
Lineage: Eukaryota; Viridiplantae; Streptophyta; Magnoliopsida; Zingiberales; Zingiberaceae
Exons: 4
Source: RefSeq, a predicted model, not a curated record
CCAGGUCCCUGCCCACAGGUGACAGCCACUGACGCCGACCCACCCCUUCCCCGGCCAUCGGACUUCGAGUCACCAGCCGUACCUGUUCAGCUCGAGGCACUCAGUCUCCGGUCCCCUCCUACUUCACAUCGGGAACUCCCUUUCUCCUCUCCUCAAUUCACUUCCCAAUUCCGUGCCUGGUAACAUCAUUAACUCCCAUCAAUAUAACUCUAUACGCGCACCACCACCACCACCUCCCUCCCUCUCGAGAUGAGUUAUCGUGCGUGUGCGUCACGCGUGCGAAGAGGAGGCGAAAUAAUAAUAAGCUAAUGAUGACGAGAGAGAGAGAGAGAGAGAGAAGCGGAGGAAGAGCUAACGGGCAGAAGCAGGUACGUACAAGGUGGAGGAGCGCGGUGGAAUUGUUUGAGGUCGACUACCUGCCAAUGCAUACCCAGUGGACGAUCGGCACGAUGAUCAUUUAUUGCGGGAACGAAGGAAUCUGUGGGUGUCGCAAUAAAUGACCGUCUCUGCUCCAGCGUUUGUACUUCUCUCAUGCUGCGCUAGCUGCACUGGACUAGCUAGCUCCUACGCUUUAUGUUUCCACUCCUCUUAAUGCCGACGUCUGAGCUUCUUCGUCUUCUACAAGUCACAGAGCAUCUUCCAGCUGCUGAGAAAGAAGCAUGGCGCUGGCGUGCGCGUUGUUUGGAGGUGAGUCGAUUCGAGUUUGUGCCUAAGUGAGCUCGGACCAGGCUUCAUUCCUCAUAACCGACAUUUUUGCCUCCAUUUCAUAGUUCCCUACGGCCAAAGAUUUUGAAGGCAAAUGACGAAGAAGAAGCAUAACAAGAAGAGAAGGUAGAAGAAACACGUAACUGACGCGAUGUGACGUUUUAAGAACUUCAAUUACAGUAUCUACGCACUGAAAACUUAUUAGCUCAUUGUUCUGUUCUGAGUUCUGACCCUGUUUUAUUAUAAUAUUAAUUAGUCAAUAUAUAUAUCUAUGCAUCCGGACGUGUGUAUAUAUAUAUAUAAAUUAAUUAAUAAAUUU